Long non-coding RNA from Malaya genurostris, 2449 nucleotides. RefSeq lists it as uncharacterized. The transcript is spliced from 4 exons. Lineage: Eukaryota; Metazoa; Arthropoda; Insecta; Diptera; Culicidae. The record is from RefSeq and is a predicted model, not a curated record.
AGUACUAGAACAAUAAGAAAAUUUGUUAAUGAUCUGUUUUAUUUUCGAAUCAAAUUUUAUAAUAUUGCCAUGUUGAAGUAACGUGUUACUGCUUACGUGGACGCAUCGGAGUGACAUCGAGCAUCGUAGUAGUCAUGUUGUGGUGUGGAACGGAACGGCCCGUCGUACCAAAUACAAAUAAUAAUACCCCUAAGAGCAAAUUCAGCAGCUGCAAGAUUCAUAUGGGUGGUCUAUAAUGUAAAUGAAACUGAAACAAACGUAUCCCCAGUAAUCCGUUUUAGUUUUAUUUAUUCGACCAGUUCUACUGUCAAAUUUAAAACUGGUAUACAUUGCCGUUCUACUUUUUCUAUAUUUGAAACACAGAUAAAACGCUGCUGGGGCUGCCAGUUUAUUUUGUUAUAAUUUCUUGAUUUAAAUUUUAAAACUGACAUAAAUUAUGCAUCUAGAACUAGAACACUCCUGAAUAUGCCCUAAGUCCCAUACAAACGAACCGCCAAUGUUUGGUUCACAGCCUGAACAAGUAAGCCUACACUGAAAAUAAUCCUCACGCUCAAUCCAAGUGCGUGCUGCAUUUGAACGUUCAAACGCGUAUAGCACUUCGUAUUCAAGUGUUUUUCUCAUAACUAAUAUGAACUCAAUACAUCCAAUUCAACAGUUUUGGCAUGUACACAGAAUUCAAUACAUGGGAUCUUGAGUGUCGUAUGCAACAAUCACCACUUCUAAAUGCUCUGAUAGUUUGAAAAAAAUAAAAUUGAUAACAUUAGAAUCUAUAUGUUGCACACAUUUUUCUCAAAUGGACCGCACGUUCCAAUCAAAUGCACACGUGUAUUCAAUUUUAAAUACAUUUAACACUUGGAGUUUGAAUACUUUUGUUUUUAAAUUCAUGUGCCAUACACUUUGUUUUUUAUGGAUCAUGGUGCUAUAAUUGAAAAAGCACCCUGUGCUUAAUGGAAUCAAAAUGGCUGAAAACAAACCACCACAGUCUCUUGCAUUCGAAAAGUUUAAAUCAAUCAUCGGUUUUCCGGAACAUAUUUGCAGAAUUCUUUUGGAUCGAAAUAAUAACCCAGAUGAUGGAACGUAGAUUUUUCACAUUUUAGCCAAUUCGCAGUUAGCGCAAUCGGUAUCAAACGAGACAGAAAAUUCAACCACGAUUAUAUUCGAGAAAGACGAAUUUCCGUCGUUCGAAGCACCGGAACCUGGUUCGUCGCCUGCGAAAGCAACAGAACCAGCUGCUCGUUCAUCAGAAACCGUUCCAAUAGAUUUUGAACUUGAGAGUACAGAAGAUUUUGUUUUGGAUGAUGUACCAACUACUUCCGGAUUGUCUUCGAAUUCGUUUCCCGAAGAGACGGACUGCGGCAACAGCAACUUGUAGAACUGACACCUACAAUUUUAGUACAUGCAUUAAGAAGCAGUAUUUUGGGACAAGUAUUAUUAAAACUUGGAAAGCAAGGGUCACCCUUAUCCGAAGCUCGUAAAUUAGAACUUGCUGGAAUUGUUGCUGAAUGGCACCUAGUCAAUCGCUCGAAAACAACCGAGAAUGAUCUUCAGUCUGGCAUUACCCCAACACUAAAAGAUAACUGUAUCAAUUUCUAUAUUUAAUUACACACUAAGAAAAGUCUACAUCUUUAUAGAUGCACAUAAAUGGAGCGUCACGAUUCACUUACAUUUACGAUUCAAAACAUGUAAAGAUAAGUCAUAUCAGUGACUUCACAGUUAAUGUAGCUUAAGCUUACAUCGAUAUAGACGCGAAGUUUAUUUUUACAUGUUAGUAGAUGUAAUAUUGUGCCAUCACCGAAGAAAUUAUGGCAUGUUUGAGUUUACGUCAAGCGUAAAUUUCAUUUUUUCUAAGAGUAUAGUUUAACUUUUUUACAGAAUUCUUAUUAUCUUCCCAGAGGAGGAGAUGAGAGAAACCUUGGAGGGAAAAUCUAUAAAAUCUAUAAAAAGAGUGGUCCUUUAAGUAACAUGAUGUGUUUUCGUUUCGAAGCAACACACAAACAGUUCAAACAAUACGCCCACAUGACUUUAUCUCGAAAAAAUAUUUGUUACACCAUAGCAGUUAAAGCCUCGAUACAGUUUAGUUUCGAUCUAUGUGAAAAUAUUUUUUUUUUCAAAAAUACUUGAAAGACUUGAAAGCAAGAUACUAUUAUCAGAAAUUGAUAUGUUUUGAUUUGACGAAUUUCGACUUAGGUGUUUUAUAUACCCACCAUUGCAAGCAUUUCGGUACAGUUUAUAAGCGUGAUCUAUUCCUAACCACAACGAGAAAUGGUGUAACUGAACUAUAUAAAAUUGAAGAAAUAAUUAAAUCCAAAUCAUGUUUGUUCAUUGUUGGUGUAUUGUGGCAAUGUGUUAUGUUUAAUGAGCAUUAUCAAGCCUUUACGGUAAUAAAACGCACGCAUUUAUAUUUCAUAAAACCUUUAGAUGCAUUUGACGGUCCACCUGUAACAGUACA